UGGCGAACGGGUGAGUAACACGUGGGUGAUCUGCCCUGCACUUCGGGAUAAGCCUGGGAAACUGGGUCUAAUACCGGAUAGGACGAUGGUUUGGAUGCCAUUGUGGAAGGUUUUUCGGUGUGGGAUGAGCUCGCGGCCUAUCAGCUUGUUGGUGGGGUAAUGGCCUACCAAGGCGUCGACGGGUAGCCGGUCUGAGAGGGUGUGCGGCCACAUUGGGACUGAGAUACGGCCCAG
This 234-nucleotide ribosomal RNA is filed under the name uncultured Actinomycetales bacterium. RNAcentral's name for it is "partial 16S ribosomal RNA". It matches the Rfam family "Bacterial small subunit ribosomal RNA", at positions 96 to 334 of the family's 1533-position model. The record is from RNAcentral. Lineage: Bacteria; Bacillati; Actinomycetota; Actinomycetes; Actinomycetales.